This 424-nucleotide ribosomal RNA is filed under the name Amphora proteus. Its description in RNAcentral is "eukaryotic LSU rRNA". It matches the Rfam family "Eukaryotic large subunit ribosomal RNA", at positions 128 to 565 of the family's 3401-position model. Lineage: Eukaryota; Bacillariophyta; Bacillariophyceae; Surirellales; Surirellaceae. The record is from RNAcentral.
UUUUUGUGCAUGGAAUUGUGGUCUGUAGACACUUGCAUUAUUAUGGACUGGACCAAGUCCCUUGGAACAGGGCAGCAGAGAGGGUGAGACUCCUGUAWGUCUAGUCUAUUGAGYWUGUGUCAAUGAGUCGAGUUGUUUGGGAUUGCAGCUCAAAGCUGGUGGUAAAUUCCAUCGAAAGCUCAAUAUGGGUGGCAGACCGAUAGCGUACAAGUACCGUGAGGGAAAGAUGCAAAGCCGCGCGAAAGCGYUGUUAAAGAGUACCUGAAAUUGCUGAAAAGGAAGYGAAGGAAACCAGUGCCAGCAUGGUCAUACUUCCCUGUUUGCUUGCAGAUAGGGCGCUGUGUCCAGCCUUGUCAACUGUGCUUUGUAGUAACAGGAUAUACACAAGGAGAGUUGAUUCUUGUUUUGUACUGUUGCUGUGAUG